This 211-nucleotide long non-coding RNA is filed under the name Actinidia chinensis (golden kiwifruit). RNAcentral describes it as "long non-coding RNA (ACHI_LNC005896)". Lineage: Eukaryota; Viridiplantae; Streptophyta; Magnoliopsida; Ericales; Actinidiaceae. The record is from RNAcentral.
AAACCUUGCCUAACCCAAUACAUGUCUUUCUCAGAAGUCAAAUGGAUUCUCAUCUAGCUCUUGGUCACCAAAUCCUUGCACUUGAUUAUUGUGUACUCCAAUAUCAAUUAGUUGCUCUCCACACACUCAUAUAUGUCUCUAGGUUUCAUCUUGAGUACAACAUUCCAAUCAUCUUCAACAGGAUCUCGAACAUAGAAGACUUGCUGUGCCU